Molecule: ribosomal RNA, 350 nt
Filed under: uncultured bacterium
Lineage: Bacteria
Description: bacterial SSU rRNA
Rfam family: Bacterial small subunit ribosomal RNA
Source: RNAcentral
UGGGGAAUUUUCCGCAAUGGGCGAAAGCCUGACGGAGCAAUACCGCGUGAGGGAUGAAGGCUUACUGAGUUGUAAACCUCUUUUUUCAAGGAAGAAGUUCUGACGUUACUUGAAGAAUAAGCAUCGGCUAACUCCGUGCCAGCAGCCGCGGUAAGACGGAGGAUGCAAGUGUUAUCCGGAAUCACUGGGCGUAAAGCGUCUGCAGGUGGUUUUUUAAGUCUGAUGUUAAAACUUGAGGCUCAACCUCAAUCCAGCAUUGGAAACUAGAAGACUAGAGUAUAGUAGGGAUAGAGGGAAUUUCCAGUGGAGCGGUGAAAUGCGUAGAUAUUGGAAAGAACACCGAUGGCGAA